GACGAACGCUGGCGGCGUGGAUUAGGCAUGCAAGUCGAACGGUAUCAUCCUUUCGGGGGUGAGAGAGUGGCGAACUGGUGAGUAACACGUAGGUUAUCUACCCUCAAGACGGGGACAACCCAGGGAAACUUGGGCUAAUACCGGAUGUGAGCAACUUUUAGUUGUUUGAAAGGUGGCGUAAGCUGUCGCUUGGGGAUGAGCCUGCGUCCUAUUAGUUAGUUGGUGAGGUAACGGCUCACCUAGGCAAUGAUGGUAGGCGGCCUUAACGGGUGGUCGCCCACACUGGGAUUGAGAUACGGCCCAGACUCCUACGGGAGGCAGCAGUCGAGAAUAGUCUACAAUGGUCGGAAGACUGAUAGUGCGACGCCGCGUGAACGAUGAAUCCCUUCGGGGUGUAAAGUUCUUUUAUAUGUGAGCAGUGCUUCUUAUAUUAACAGUAUGGGGAGAGAGAUAUUAGCAUAUGAAUAAGCAACGGCUAACUCCGUGCCAGCAGCCGCGGUAAACUCGU
Molecule: ribosomal RNA, 508 nt
Filed under: uncultured bacterium
Lineage: Bacteria
Description: bacterial SSU rRNA
Rfam family: Bacterial small subunit ribosomal RNA
Source: RNAcentral